This 75-nucleotide transfer RNA is filed under the name Pseudomonas aeruginosa. RNAcentral's name for it is "tRNA-Ala". It matches the Rfam family "tRNA". From Rfam's summary of the family: Transfer RNA (tRNA) molecules are approximately 80 nucleotides in length. The record is from RNAcentral. Lineage: Bacteria; Pseudomonadati; Pseudomonadota; Gammaproteobacteria; Pseudomonadales; Pseudomonadaceae.
GGGGCCAUAGCUCAGCUGGAGAGCGCCUGCUUUGCACGCAGGAGGUCAGGAGUUCGAUCCUCCUUGGCUCCACCA